This 1507-nucleotide long non-coding RNA is filed under the name Olea europaea (common olive). RNAcentral's name for it is "long non-coding RNA (OEUR_LNC015421)". Lineage: Eukaryota; Viridiplantae; Streptophyta; Magnoliopsida; Lamiales; Oleaceae. The record is from RNAcentral.
UCGACAACCCAAUGACUAAUAUAAUUUUUAACAGUAGAAAAAAUGUGUUGUAGAGACAUCUUUGUUAUAAAGGGUCAGAUGAACAAUUUACGAGAAUAAGUUGCAUAUAUCUAGUGAAUACUUUGUAUUCAGGAGCAAGGAAAUCAAUCAUUCAAAUUAAACCAUGCUUCAUGUCUCUUAUGGCACACCACUAUGUGUUCAAUUAAUUGUUGUACCAAUUGGGAUGUUUUCUCAUGAACACACUCUUCCACCAAAAUUCUCUAUGAGUACUCCACCUUCAUCAAGAUUGAAAACAUUUGAUACUAAAAUAGAAAAACAACACAAAAACUCUAAUGUAAAACAAGUCAAUCGAUCUCAACAAACAUUAAAAGGAAAAUAAAAGAACCAAUAUGUAUUAUCCAACAGUUUAUAUGUAUUUCUAGAUAUUUUAUAAACUUUUCUUUACAGUUUAACUAACAUAUAAAAAAUUGUUGAGAAAGACAACUACUAAUUAUAGACAAUGACAGCUGGAUUGUCAAGGCAGAAAAUUCAAAGUUACACUAUAGAGAACCAAAUUCAACUUCCGCUCUAUGGAGUUUCAAUAACCUCACACUCCAAUCCAUUCUACAUGUUAAUGCGAUCCAGAAAUAUUUCAACCUUUAAAGACAUUAUGUUACCUGAUUCACACAUUUAUACCUCCCUCUAUUAAUUAUGGACACAAAAAUCUAUAAAUCUUUGGGAAACAUGGUACAAUGCCAAAUAUAACUUGCAUCUACUGACUACUGGUAGUCUGAUACAUAUGCUCACCAAAAUAAUUUUCAACAAAUAAGUUACCCAAAAUAAGUUUUUCAUCUUCUACAUAGAAAUACAUUAACUCAAAACAUUAAAAGAACAAAAAUAUUCUCUUUAUCUUGUACAAUAAAAAUGUACAAAUGAGUAUUUAAAAAAAAAAAAAGCAAAAAAAAAAAAAUUCAAACUUAAAUUCAGAGGAACCCAACAACAUUGAAUUGCCAAAAUAGUACUUUAGAUAGGCACUCAUUUUUAUUGCAGAGAGUGAAAAUAACUCACAACAAUGGCUUGAGGAAUGACAUGCGACGACCGCAUCUUCACAGAGGAAAAGAAAGUUCAGUUGCCGUUGAUUUUCAGGGAGAUAUAGGGAAAUUGUGCUUUCAAGAGAUGCCCUAACAAAGUAAUUACGGUUACCGUGGAGAUAUCCAGCACAAUUUGCAAGUUCCCCAUUUGUGAAGGAGUUUACAGAUUUCUUCAGUGCUUCAAGUGCCAGCUAGCAAUUGCGUCAUUAGGGCAAGAAAUAUUCCAUGAAUUGUACCAAUUGCUACAUGGGAAAAACUAGGAAACAGACUAACCAUAGUAACAACAUUAAUCCUUAAAAUAAUGAAAAACUAGAAACGAGAAGGCUGAUAGGAGAGAGACUAUAUUCAGUCUAAUUAAACGUACUCUGUAAUAAAUCAGGUAACCACACGAGGCCACCCCGCCCCCCCAACCACUAAAAAGAAAAAAACACUUAUAG